GACGAACGCUGGCGGCGUGCUUAACACAUGCAAGUCGAACGGAAAGGCCCUGCUUUUGUGGGGUGCUCGAGUGGCGAACGGGUGAGUAACACGUGAGUAACCUGCCCUUGACUUUGGGAUAACUUCAGGAAACUGGGGCUAAUACCGGAUAGGAGCUCCUGCUGCAUGGUGGGGGUUGGAAAGUUUCGGCGGUUGGGGAUGGACUCGCGGCUUAUCAGCUUGUUGGUGGGGUAGUGGCUUACCAAGGCUUUGACGGGUAGCCGGCCUGAGAGGGUGACCGGCCACAUUGGGACUGAGAAACGACCCAGGGUCCUACGGGGGGCAGGAGUGGAGAAUUUUGCACAAUGUGCGGAAGCCGGAUGCAGCAACGCCGCGUGCGGGAUGACGGCCUUCGGGUUGUAAACCGCUUUCGCCUGUGACGAAGCGUGAGUGACGGUAAUGGGGAAAGAAGCACCGGCUAACUACGU
RNAcentral lists this ribosomal RNA (467 nucleotides) under uncultured bacterium. RNAcentral describes it as "partial 16S ribosomal RNA". It matches the Rfam family "Bacterial small subunit ribosomal RNA", at positions 28 to 506 of the family's 1533-position model. The record is from RNAcentral.